AGAAUAUGAAACAGAUGAUAGAGAUGUAUAAACACAAGACACAUGAGCAAACACGUGGUUUUGGAAGAUGGUAGAAAGAAAAAUUAGAAGAAUUGUAGGAGAAAAGUGAGUUUUGUGUGGAUGUUUCAACAAAUAUAUAGAUAUUUAUAGAGUUUUUGGGUGACUUUUGAGUUAAAUAAUUUUUUAUAAUUAUUUUAACCAUUGACUUUAAAUUUGGGCCAUUAG
Molecule: long non-coding RNA, 225 nt
Filed under: Malus domestica (apple)
Lineage: Eukaryota; Viridiplantae; Streptophyta; Magnoliopsida; Rosales; Rosaceae
Description: long non-coding RNA (MDOM_LNC014902)
Source: RNAcentral